This 550-nucleotide ribosomal RNA is filed under the name uncultured bacterium. RNAcentral's name for it is "bacterial SSU rRNA". It matches the Rfam family "Bacterial small subunit ribosomal RNA", at positions 355 to 896 of the family's 1533-position model. The record is from RNAcentral.
UAGGGAAUCUUCCACAAUGGGCGAAAGCCUGAUGGAGCAACGCCGCGUGUGUGAUGAAGGCUUUAGGGUCGUAAAGCACUGUUGUAUGGGAAGAAAUGCUAGAAUAGGGAAUGAUUCUAGUUCGACGGUACCAUACCAGAAAGGGACGGCUAAAUACGUGCCAGCAGCCGCGGUAAUACGUAUGUCCCGAGCGUUAUCCGGAUUUAUUGGGCGUAAAGCGAGCGCAGACGGUUGAUUAAGUCUGAUGUGAAAGCCCGGAGCUCAACUCCGGAAUGGCAUUGGAAACUGGUUAACUUGAGUGUUGUAGAGGUAAGUGGAACUCCAUGUGUAGCGGUGGAAUGCGUAGAUAUAUGGAAGAACACCAGUGGCGAAGGCGGCUUACUGGACAACAACUGACGUUGAGGCUCGAAAGUGUGGGUAGCAAACAGGAUUAGAUACCCUGGUAGUCCACACCGUAAAUGAUGAAUACUAGGUGUUAGGAGGUUUCCGCCUCUUAGUGCCGAAGCUAACGCAUUAAGUACUCCGCCUGGGGAGUACGACCGCAAGGUUG